This 39-nucleotide ribosomal RNA is filed under the name Pilobolus kleinii. Its description in RNAcentral is "partial 18S ribosomal RNA". Lineage: Eukaryota; Fungi; Mucoromycota; Mucoromycetes; Mucorales; Pilobolaceae. The record is from RNAcentral.
AACAAGGUUUCCGUGGGGGACCCUGCGGAAGGAUCAUUA